Long non-coding RNA from Triticum aestivum (bread wheat), 238 nucleotides. RefSeq lists it as uncharacterized. NCBI's taxonomy places the organism in Eukaryota, Viridiplantae, Streptophyta, Magnoliopsida, Poales, Poaceae. The transcript has 3 exons. The record is from RefSeq and is a predicted model, not a curated record.
CAGACCUAAGUCAAGGUAAUCCUCCUUUGAAACACUUUGGUAUUGCUCCUAGAUAGAUCAUAAUACAAAAAAUCAAUCAGAGCAUAGGGAGCCAUCUCAUUAUCUUUCCGUAAAGAAAAACUAUGGUGGACUAACUGAUCUUUAAAUCAUUUUAUGAAAGAGCCCAAUGCAAAAAAAUGCAUGUUGGGUCUUUGAAACAGUUCAAAUCAUUUCGAUAAUAAUCCGAGAUCGGAAGAGA